AGAUCACAUAAACAUAAUGUAGGUAUUUUAUAGUUUAAAAGAGUACUGGAGAUAUUGAAGAAGAGAAAAAAUAAUUUCUUUUGUCAUUAACUAUCGCAUCUUUAGGUGUAGUAUCUGUAAUAAGCAUAAAGCGGGGAUUGGUAUUAAUUGAAUCAAAAGUUGAAGCGAGAAAGCAUCAUUAAUUUCCCCCUCGCUCCCAGCGAACCCAUUCCAAUAUGGUU
Schizosaccharomyces pombe (fission yeast) is the source of this 221-nucleotide non-coding RNA. Lineage: Eukaryota; Fungi; Ascomycota; Schizosaccharomycetes; Schizosaccharomycetales; Schizosaccharomycetaceae. The record is from the annotation of a GenBank genome assembly.